UGCAUCGGCCGGGAAUCGAACCCGGGUCUCCCGCGUGGCAGGCGAGCAUUCUACCACUGAACCACCGAUGC
Molecule: transfer RNA, 71 nt
Filed under: Cordylochernes scorpioides
Lineage: Eukaryota; Metazoa; Arthropoda; Arachnida; Pseudoscorpiones; Chernetidae
Description: tRNA-Gly
Source: RNAcentral